UAGGGAAUCUUCCGCAAUGGACGAAAGUCUGACGGAGCAACGCCGCGUGAGUGAAGAAGGAUUUCGGUUCGUAAAACUCUGUUGUUAGGGAAGAAAAAAUGUAUAGUAACUAUAUACAAAAGAGACGGUACCUAACCAGAAAGCCACGGCUAACUACGUGCCAGCAGCCGCGGUAAUACGUAGGUGGCAAGCGUUGUCCGGAAUUAUUGGGCGUAAAGCGCGCGCAGGUGGUUUAGAAAGUCUGAUGUGAAAGCCCACGGCUCAACCGUGGAGGGUCAUUGGAAACUAAUAAACUUGAGUGCAGGAGAGAAAAGUGGAAUUCCUAGUGUAGCGGUGAAAUGCGUAGAGAUUAGGAAGAACACCGGUGGCGAAAGCGGCUUUUUGGCCUGCAACUGACACUGAGGCGCGAAAGCGUGGGGAGCAAACAGG
This 429-nucleotide ribosomal RNA is filed under the name Verrucomicrobiota bacterium. Its description in RNAcentral is "Verrucomicrobia bacterium partial 16S ribosomal RNA". It matches the Rfam family "Bacterial small subunit ribosomal RNA", at positions 355 to 776 of the family's 1533-position model. The record is from RNAcentral. Lineage: Bacteria; Pseudomonadati; Verrucomicrobiota.